AACGAACGCUGGCGGCAGGCUUAACACAUGCAAGUCGAACGCCCCGCAAGGGGAGUGGCAGACGGGUGAGUAACGCGUGGGAAUGUGCCCUUUGGUUUCGGGAACAAACUCCGGGAAACGUGGAGCUAAUACCGAAUGUGUCCGAGAGGAGAAAGAUUUAUCGCCAAAGGAUCAGCCCGCGUUGGAUUAGCUAGUUGGUGGGGGUAAAAGCCUACCAAGGCGACGAUCCAUAGCUGGUCUGAGAGGACGAUCAGCCACACUGGGACUGAGACACGGCCCAGACUCCUACGGGAGGCAGCAGUGGGGAAUCUUGGACAAUGGGCGGAAAGCCUGACGCAGCGACGCCGCGUGAGGGA
This 356-nucleotide ribosomal RNA is filed under the name uncultured bacterium. RNAcentral describes it as "bacterial SSU rRNA". It matches the Rfam family "Bacterial small subunit ribosomal RNA", at positions 29 to 408 of the family's 1533-position model. The record is from RNAcentral.